RNAcentral lists this long non-coding RNA (717 nucleotides) under Salmo salar (Atlantic salmon). RNAcentral's name for it is "lncRNA (ENSSSAG00000104131.1)". Lineage: Eukaryota; Metazoa; Chordata; Actinopteri; Salmoniformes; Salmonidae. The record is from RNAcentral.
CCCUGUUCCUGGAGAGAUACCCCUCCUGUAGGUUUUAACUCCAACCCUGUUCCUGGAGAGAUACCCUCCUGUAGGUUUUAACUCCAACCCCUGUUCCUGGAGAGAUACCCUCCUGUAGGUUUUAACUCCAACCCUGUUCCUGGAGAGAUACCCCUCCUGUAGGUUUUAACUCCAACCCUGUUCCUGGAGAACUACCCUCCUGUAGGUUUUAACUCCAACCCUGUUCCUGGAGAGAUACCCUCCUGUAGGUUUUAACUCCAACCCUGUUCCUGGAGAGCUACCCUCCUGUAGGUUUUAACUCCAACCCUGUUCCUGGAGAGAUACCCUCCUGUAGGUUUUAACUCCAACCCUGUUCCUGGAGAUAAACCUCCUGUAGGUUUUAACUCCAACCCUGUUCCUGGAGAGAUACCCCUCCUGUAGGUUUUAACUCCAACCCUGUUCCUGGAGAGAUACCCCUCCUGUAGGUUUUAACUCCAACCCUGUUCCUGGAGAGAUACCCUCCUAUAGGUUUUAACUCCAACCCUGUUCCUGGAGAGAUACCCCUCCUGUAGGUUUUAACUCCAACCCUGUUCCUGGAGAGAUGCCCUCCUGUAGGUUUUAACUCCAACCCUGUUCCUGGAGAGCUACCCUCCUGUAGGUUUUAACUCCAACCCUGUUCCUGGAGAGAUACCCUCCUGUAGGUUUUAACUCCAACCCUGUUCCUGGAGAGAUACCCUC